Molecule: ribosomal RNA, 301 nt
Filed under: uncultured bacterium
Lineage: Bacteria
Description: partial 16S ribosomal RNA
Rfam family: Bacterial small subunit ribosomal RNA
Source: RNAcentral
CAGUAGCCGCGGUAAUACGAAGGGGGCUAGCGUUGCUCGGAAUGACUGGGCGUAAAGGGCGCGUAGGCGGUUUAUACAGUCAGAUGUGAAAUUCCUGGGCUCAACCUGGGGACUGCAUUUGAUACGUAUGGACUUGAGUGGAGAAGAGGGUUGUGGAAUUUCCAGUGUAGAGGUGAAAUUCGUAGAUAUUGGAAAGAACACCGGUGGCGAAGGCGGCAACCUGGUCUUUAACUGACGCUGAGGCGCGAAAGCGUGGGGAGCAAACAGGAUUAGAUACCCGAGUAGUCCCUGUCUCUUAUAC